RNAcentral lists this ribosomal RNA (253 nucleotides) under uncultured bacterium. Its description in RNAcentral is "partial 16S ribosomal RNA". It matches the Rfam family "Bacterial small subunit ribosomal RNA", at positions 524 to 776 of the family's 1533-position model. The record is from RNAcentral.
UACGUAGGGGGCAAGCGUUGUCCGGAAUCAUUGGGCGUAAAGAGCUCGUAGGCGGCUUGUCGCGUCGUCCGUGAAAACCUGCAGCUCAACUGCAGGCUUGCGGGCGAUACGGGCAGGCUAGAGUUCGGUAGGGGAGACUGGAAUUCCUGGUGUAGCGGUGAAAUGCGCAGAUAUCAGGAGGAACACCGGUGGCGAAGGCGGGUCUCUGGGCCGAUACUGACGCUGAGGAGCGAAAGCGUGGGGAGCGAACAGG